UAGGGAAUCUUCCGCAAUGGACGCAAGUCUGACGGAGCAACGCCGCGUGAGUGAAGAAGGAUUUCGGUUCGUAAAACUCUGUUGUUAGAGAAGAACAGCGCAUAGAGUAACUGUUAUGCGUGUGACGGUAUCUAACCAGAAAGCCACGGCUAACUACGUGCCAGCAGCCGCUGUAAUACGUAGGUGGCAAGCGUUGUCCGGAUUUAUUGGGCGUAAAGCGAGCGCAGGCGGUCAAUUAAGUCUGAUGUGAAAGCCCCCGGCUCAACCGGGGAGGGUCAUUGGAAACUGGUUGACUUGAGUGCAGAAGAGGAGAGUGGAAUUCCAUGUGUAGCGGUGAAAUGCGUAGAUAUAUGGAGGAACACCAGUGGCGAAGGCGACUCUCUGGUCUGUAACUGACGCUGAGGUUCGAAAGCGUGGGUAGCAAACAGG
This 429-nucleotide ribosomal RNA is filed under the name Bacteroidota bacterium. RNAcentral's name for it is "Bacteroidetes bacterium partial 16S ribosomal RNA". It matches the Rfam family "Bacterial small subunit ribosomal RNA", at positions 355 to 776 of the family's 1533-position model. The record is from RNAcentral. Lineage: Bacteria; Pseudomonadati; Bacteroidota.